GAUGAACGCUGGCGGCGUGCCUAACACAUGCAAGUCGAACGGAGAUUACGGACGGAAGUUUUCGGAUGGAAGCCUGUAAUUCUUAGUGGCGGACGGGUGAGUAACGCGUGGGCAACCUGCCCUAUACAGGGGGAUAGCAGCUGGAAACGGCUGGUAAGACCGCAUAAGUCGGUUAAAUCGCAUGAUUUGAUCGGGAAAUGAGCAAUCAGGUAUAGGAUGGGCCCGCGUCCGAUUAGCCAGUUGGCAGGGUAAAAGCCUACCAAAGCGACGAUCGGUAGCCGGACUGAGAGGUCGGACGGCCACAUUGGGACUGAGACACGGCCCAAACUCCUACGGGAGGCAGCAGUGGGGGAUAUUGCACAAUGGAGGAAACUCUGAUGCAGCGACGCCGCGUGAGUGAAGAAGUAUUUCGGUAUGUAAAGCUCUAUCGGCAGGGAAGAUGAUGACGGUACCUGACGAAGAAGCCCCGGCUAACUACGUG
RNAcentral lists this ribosomal RNA (481 nucleotides) under uncultured bacterium. RNAcentral describes it as "partial 16S ribosomal RNA". It matches the Rfam family "Bacterial small subunit ribosomal RNA", at positions 28 to 507 of the family's 1533-position model. The record is from RNAcentral.